This 38-nucleotide ribosomal RNA is filed under the name Lactarius deterrimus. RNAcentral describes it as "partial 28S ribosomal RNA". RNAcentral also lists the same sequence under 2 other names. Lineage: Eukaryota; Fungi; Basidiomycota; Agaricomycetes; Russulales; Russulaceae. The record is from RNAcentral.
UGACCUCAAAUCGGGUGAGACUACCCGCUGAACUUAAG